RNAcentral lists this transfer RNA (73 nucleotides) under Alligator mississippiensis (American alligator). It matches the Rfam family "tRNA". From Rfam's summary of the family: Transfer RNA (tRNA) molecules are approximately 80 nucleotides in length. Their secondary structure includes four short double-helical elements and three loops (D, anti-codon, and T loops). The record is from Rfam by way of RNAcentral. Lineage: Eukaryota; Metazoa; Chordata; Crocodylia; Alligatoridae.
GCCCCAGCAGCCUAAUGACUAAGGCACUGGCUUCCUAAACUAGGGAUUGUGUGCUCAAGUCCCACCUGGGGUG